GGAGAGUCGUCGUUACUAGAUUGUCGUACUCAGUCUAUCAUAUUUGCCGAUUUCCAACCCCCAAACGGUCUCCUCCACCCCAAGAACGAGACUCAUUUAUAAGUAUCUUUAUAAUCAUUAAUUACUGAUGUUUUUUUGGCAACAGUAAUGGGUCAGAAGCCGGAAAAUACGAUGUUCUGAGUACGAUAAUCUGGCAUCGGUGGGGUCAGUGAAGGGAAAUUUGCUUAUUUUGAUAUUUUUCCCAAAUAAACUGUGCUGGAUUGUAAUUCGCCAUUGUCACACGUUAACUAUACUCUCAUUUUCCUUUCUAAGUUAAUUAUUCUCCUUGAAAGUUGCUGGUUAGUGAAAAUUAAUGAAAAUGCUUAAGCUAAUGGCGUUUCAGAGCAGAGCGAAGUAUAGUUAUUUUGAUUUUUCCCAUAUAAUUUGCGUAGUAAUAUCUUUAUUCACUAUCGCAAGUUAACCACACUCUCAUAUUUCAUCUCCACGUUAAUUAUCCCCUCCUUAAAAGUAGCCGAUUACUUAAAAAUCAUGGAAAUCCUUAAAAGUGUGCCGUUAAAAAGUAGAAUUCCCCAACACACACAUGUAAACAAAGCGACCAACCUAGACCAGGACCAAGACAAGCCUGCCGAUGUGGAUGCGGAAAAAUUCGGUAAAAUCAAUCCAGAAAGGAGUCAGGGUCUGAAUGAGCCCUGCACAGUCCACACCAGGGAAGGGGAGCAGCGACUGAAUGCCUGACGGACUGCAAGCACGGAGGAGGUCAAGAUUCGGAGAUGAGGAUGUGCGGAGAUGCGAGUGUGACGGCUGCCGAGAUGUAUAGGAAAUAGUGGAAAUCUUCAUCGAUAACCCACAUGUGAAAACCACUCAGGAAUUGACUGGCUAACGGAGCGACUGGGAAUUCGGAAGAGGUGAAGCUUCUAUUCGGAGGCGAGGAUGUACCGACAGACAAAAGUGACGGGUGCCGGAAUCUAUAGGAACUAGGAGAAAUCUUCAUUGAUAACCCACGUGUGAAAACCACUCAGGAAUUGACUGGCUAACGGAGCGACUGGGAAUUCGGAAGAGGUGAAGCUUCUAUUCGGAGACGAGGAUGUACUGACAGACAAGAGUGACGGCUGCCGGAAUCUAUAGGAACUAGGAGAAACCUUCAUUGAUAGGCCACGUGUGAAAACCACUCAGGAAUUGACUGGCUAACGGAGCGAGUGGGAAUUCGAAAGAGGUGAAGCUUCUAUUCGGAGACGAUCGAGGAUGUACUGACAGACAAGAGUGACGGCUCCCGGAAUCUAUAGGAACUAGGAGAAAUCUUCAUCGAUAAGCUCUUAGGAAUUGACUGGGUAACGGAUUGACUGUAAAGAUGGAAGAGCUGGAGGGAUUGCUCGAAGAUAUUAAGGAUGAGCGGGAGUACAAGUGUCUGCAGUGCCGGGAUGUGUUCCAGAGUAGCAGCCACCUCAUCCAGCACACCCUUACCCACGUUGGGAUUCGGGUCUACAUGUGUGAGAUAUGCAAGAAGCUAUUUUACACCAAAGAGCUGCUGGAUCAACACUCCACAACACAUGCCACCUCCAACAGUGCACAUCCCACCACUAUCUUAACUCAUCCCACUGGUGUCAUAGUAUAUCCCUCCGACAUUGCAGAUCCCAUUAGUACCUUGUCGCAUACCACUGGUGUUGUGCUUUCCACCUAUACUAUUGCACAGCCUACCACUAACAUUGCACAUCUUACCCCCACGUCAUCAUGCCCCACUACCACUGACAAAGCACAUCCCACCACUGCGAAGACAUCCCCCAACAAGUGCCUGGAGAAGACCUUCGUUAACACCCCCUCCAAGAAGGGUCGGGAAAAGGCCUCUGCAGGUAAUGGCCGUGAAAGAAAAUUAGUUGCUCUCCUACAACCCAAAGUUAGCCCGCGGAUGAAGAAGAUUGUCUGCGGGGAGUGCGGGAAGUUGAUCAGCAAGUGUUAUAUGAAAACUCACCUGCUGAUACACGCAGACAUCAGGAAACACGAGUGCAAGAUAUGUAAAAAGAAGUUCACACACAAAUCAACUCUCCAAAACCACAACUCGAUUCACACUGGGAAGAAAUUUGAGUGUUUAGAGUGCGGGAAAGCCUUCACGCGUAAGAGCUACCUGACGUUUCAUACCAAAAUCCAUCUCGACGAGGCUUACAGGAACAGCAUCGACGACCCAUUGUAAGCCCGUAAACGAUGUCGGUAUCCCAAGACACUUUAAUCCCCGGCAUCAAAAGUGUUUGCUUCCCCUUUUUCAAAUCUUAAUCAAUUUUUUUUUUGGGGUGUGUUUCAUGGUGCAGGUGUUUAUUUUAUUUUAUUUAUUUAUUUAUUUUUUACGUCGCGGCCGAUUGCGCCGGUAGGCUACUUCCUGGUGGAUCCUGAUGGUCGGCCCAGCCCGUUCUGGCGCAGGCGAGUGUUUAUAGUGGCGCCAUCUUGCAUUGGCUUAUGCUGCCUUCCUGGAGUUCAUCUGUAAUCCUAGAAUCUAGAGUCCGGGUUGAUAGGUGGUCUUCUGGACAGCAUGUGGGUAGUUUUAAGCCACUCGGCGGCGGCUGAAAAAUGCCAGCUUGGUGGGACCGGGCGGGGGUUGAACUCACGUCGUCCUGAACGCGGCGCCGUCACGCUAUCCAUUCAGCCACCGUCGUGUGAUGAUGGGGAAGUGGAAUUCAGGGAACUAUACCACCGCUUCUAGUAAAGGUGGGUUGCUUGUCAUCAUCAUUGUAUCAGUGGAUGUUAAUUCAAGGGACGAGGAGAAACUGGAUUAAAGGAAUAAAAAGUUGUGCAGGAA
Molecule: long non-coding RNA, 2785 nt
Organism: Eriocheir sinensis (Chinese mitten crab)
Lineage: Eukaryota; Metazoa; Arthropoda; Malacostraca; Decapoda; Varunidae
Exons: 3
Source: RefSeq, a predicted model, not a curated record